AAUGGGCGUGGUGGCGCACGCCUGUAGUCCCAGCUACUUGGGAGGUUGAGGUGGGAGGAUGGCUUAAAUCCAGGAGUUCUGGGCUGCAGUGGUGUCCGCACUAAGUUCGGCAUCAAUAUGGUGACCUCCCGGGAAUGGGGGACCACCAGGUUGCCUAAGGAGGGGUGAACCGGCCCAGGUCCGAAAUGGAGCAGGUCAAAACUCCCGUGCUGAUCAGAAUAAUCCAGCAAGGUGGAGAGAAAAAUGAUUUGGAGAAUUGUUCAUAGCUAUUUUUU
This is an unclassified non-coding RNA of Heterocephalus glaber (naked mole-rat), 275 nucleotides long. It matches the Rfam family "Metazoan signal recognition particle RNA". From Rfam's summary of the family: The signal recognition particle (SRP) is a universally conserved ribonucleoprotein. The record is from Ensembl. Lineage: Eukaryota; Metazoa; Chordata; Mammalia; Rodentia; Bathyergidae.